This is a non-coding RNA of Peromyscus californicus insignis, 277 nucleotides long. NCBI's taxonomy places the organism in Eukaryota, Metazoa, Chordata, Mammalia, Rodentia, Cricetidae. The record is from RefSeq and is a predicted model, not a curated record.
UAUCUGUAGUGUUGGACCCAGACUGGGUUGGUGGUGGUACCUGAGAGCACACCAGACUCGUAGAAAAAGCGUGCUCCACAGGAAGCUGAGGCAUGCUGUUUGACAGCCAGUGGUUCCAUGUGCAGUUUUCCUCUGAUAGGUCCUGGGUACUGUUGCCAUGGUGAUAACGGCUGUGCCGUGUCAUUAUUGAUUCACCAAUAGUCAGAGAAGCUUUGUAGUCAGGAUACCGUUUAGUAGACAGAGUGGUUUCUGAUGGACACUAAUUCCUUCCACAAAA